RNAcentral lists this long non-coding RNA (213 nucleotides) under Mytilus galloprovincialis (Mediterranean mussel). Lineage: Eukaryota; Metazoa; Mollusca; Bivalvia; Mytilida; Mytilidae. The record is from RNAcentral.
CUCAUGAAAAAAGUAAAAAGACAUUCUUAAAAUUUAUCUGAGCAUCCAAAAUAUUUAGCUCAUUUCUCACAACUUUAAUAACAAUAGGACAUUCUAUAAUCUGCUUUGAUAGUUAUAUGCAAUCAGUAUCAUGAACAUAAAACUAAAACAAAACAUUGGCUGACAACACAAGAAUCUUGUUAUAAAUUUCCUCAACAAUUGUUUUAAUGUGAU